Molecule: unclassified non-coding RNA, 157 nt
Filed under: uncultured Helotiales
Lineage: Eukaryota; Fungi; Ascomycota; Leotiomycetes; Helotiales
Description: sequence contains ITS1
Source: RNAcentral
CAGAGUUUAUGCCCUCGCGGGUAGAUCUCCCACCCUUGAAUAUUAUACCUUUGUUGCUUUGGCGGGCCGCUUCGGCUACCGGCUUUGGCUGGUGAGUGCCUGCCAGAGGACCCAAAAUUCUGAAUUAUAGUGUUGUCUGAGUACUAUAUAAUAGUUA